CCCUACGGGGCGCAGCAGUGAGGAAUAUUGGUCAAUGGCCGCAGGGCUGAACCAGCCAAGUCGCGUGAGGGAUGACGGUCCUAUGGAUUGUAAACCUCUUUUGUCAGGGAGCAAAGGGCGCCACGUGUGGCGCUUUGCGAGUACCCGGAGAAAAAGCAUCGGCUAACUCCGUGCCAGCAGCCGCGGUAAUACGGAGGAUGCGAGCGUUAUCCGGAUUUAUUGGGUUUAAAGGGUGCGCAGGCGGCGAGUUAAGUCAGCGGUAAAAUUUCGGGGCUCAACCCCGACGAGCCGUUGAAACUGGCUUG
RNAcentral lists this ribosomal RNA (305 nucleotides) under uncultured bacterium. RNAcentral describes it as "bacterial SSU rRNA". It matches the Rfam family "Bacterial small subunit ribosomal RNA", at positions 337 to 640 of the family's 1533-position model. The record is from RNAcentral.